Long non-coding RNA from Parasteatoda tepidariorum (common house spider), 537 nucleotides. RefSeq lists it as uncharacterized. The record is from RefSeq and is a predicted model, not a curated record. Lineage: Eukaryota; Metazoa; Arthropoda; Arachnida; Araneae; Theridiidae.
UAGAGUCCUAAUGACACCUGAAGACAGCUGAAAUUAUGUCGAUUUAUUUUCCUUCAUUUUAGCUCCAAUUUCUUGUCAAACAACGUUUUAUUUUGUAAGAACUAGCGUGAAAGAACGGCAAUAAAUUAGAACCUAAAGAUUUCAUUGUUAUAUAUAAUAAGAUAAGAGGGAAGAUCUUCUAUUUAAUGUGAUCUAUCAGAUGAUGGAUGCUUGCCAAUUUGCACAUGAAAACUCUGGAACUACUGGUCUAUUACAGGUGCUGUUAUGUAUGCGGGAAUGAGAAUUUCGUAUUUUACAAGUCCAGGGCCACCAAUUGAGGAGUGUAGGUCACUGGACGAAAUAUUCUUGUGUCAACGCUGGGAUUCAAACCUCCCUUCAGCUGGUCAUGGGAAUGACGGAAUAGCCCUCUCGCGUGUAGCAUCAUGCAUCCAGUUGAAAGGAACUAAAUGCUUCAUAAGGUGAGCAUAAUUGGUGCGAAUAAAAUACUGAUUGCUUAAUUUAUUAGGUGAAAGCAGUCAAUAAAAGAUUUUUCUCGCG